This 503-nucleotide ribosomal RNA is filed under the name uncultured bacterium. RNAcentral describes it as "partial 16S ribosomal RNA". It matches the Rfam family "Bacterial small subunit ribosomal RNA", at positions 30 to 523 of the family's 1533-position model. The record is from RNAcentral.
AUUGAACGCUGGCGGCAGGCUUAACACAUGCAAGUCGAGCGGGGUGAUGGUGCUUGCACUAUCACUUAGCGGCGGACGGGUGAGUAAUGCUUAGGAAUCUGCCUAUUAGUGGGGGACAACAUCUCGAAAGGGAUGCUAAUACCGCAUACGUCCUACGGGAGAAAGCAGGGGAUCACUUGUGACCUUGCGCUAAUAGAUGAGCCUAAGUCGGAUUAGCUAGUUGGUGGGGUAAAGGCCUACCAAGGCGACGAUCUGUAGCGGGUCUGAGAGGAUGGUCCGCCAAACUGGGACUGAGACACGGCCCAGACUCCUACGGGAGGCAGCAGUGGGGAAUAUUGGACAAUGGGGGGAACCCUGAUCCAGCCAUGCCGCGUGGGUGAAGAAGGCCUUAUGGUUGUAAAGCACUUUAAGCGAGGAGGAGGCUCUUUUGGUUAAUACCCAAGAUGAGUGGACGUUACUCGCAGAAUAAGCACCGGCUAACUCUGUGCCAGCCGCCGCCGUAA